RNAcentral lists this ribosomal RNA (442 nucleotides) under uncultured bacterium. RNAcentral's name for it is "partial 16S ribosomal RNA". It matches the Rfam family "Bacterial small subunit ribosomal RNA", at positions 338 to 795 of the family's 1533-position model. The record is from RNAcentral.
CCUACGGGUGGCAGCAGUGGGGAAUAUUGGGCAAUGGGCGCAAGCCUGACCCAGCAACGCCGCGUGAAGGAAGAAGGCUUUCGGGUUGUAAACUUCUUUUAAGAGGGAAGAGCAGAAGACGGUACCUCUUGAAUAAGCCACGGCUAACUACGUGCCAGCAGCCGAGGUAAUACGUAGGUGGCAAGCGUUGUCCGGAUUUAGUGGGUGUAAAGGGCGUGCAGCCGGGAAGACAAGUCAGAUGUGAAAUCCCGGGGCUCAACCGCGGAACUGCAUUUGAAACUGCUUUUCUUGAGUACCGGAGAGGUCAUCGGAAUUCCUUGUGUAGCGGUGAAAUGCGUAGAUAUAAGGAAGAACACCAGUGGCGAAGGCGGAUGACUGGACGGAAACUGACGGUGAGGCGCGAAAGCGUGGGGAGCAAACAGGAUUAGAUACCCGAGUAGUC